GAUACGUUGAGCUAACCGAUACUAAUGAACCGUGAGGCUUAACCUUACAACGCCGAAG
RNAcentral lists this ribosomal RNA (58 nucleotides) under Klebsiella aerogenes. RNAcentral's name for it is "partial 23S ribosomal RNA". Lineage: Bacteria; Pseudomonadati; Pseudomonadota; Gammaproteobacteria; Enterobacterales; Enterobacteriaceae. The record is from RNAcentral.